CCGGCCACACUGGGACUGAGACACGGCCCAGACUCCUACGGGAGGCAGCAGUGGGGAAUAUUGCGCAAUGGGCGGAAGCCUGACGCAGCGACGCCGCGUGGGGGAUGACGGCCUUCGGGUUGUAAACCUCUUUCGCCAGGGACGAAGAGUGAUUGACGGUACCUGGAGAAGAAGCACCGGCCAACUACGUGCCAGCAGCCGCGGUAACACGUAGGGUGCGAGCGUUGUCCGGAAUUAUUGGGCGUAAAGAGCUCGUAGGCGGUGUGUCGCGUCGGCCGUGAAAACUUGGGGCUUAACUCUGAGCGUGCGGUCGAUACGGGCAUCACUUGAGUUCGGCAGGGGAGACUGGAAUUCCUGGUGUAGCGGUGAAAUGCGCAGAUAUCAGGAGGAACACCGGUGGCGAAGGCGGGUCUCUGGGCCGAUACUGACGCUGAGGAGCGAAAGCGUGGGGAGCGAACAGGAUUAGAUACCCUGGUAGUCCACGCCGUAAACGUUGGGCGCUAGGUGUGGGGACCAUUCCACG
Molecule: ribosomal RNA, 523 nt
Filed under: bacterium 2e81909
Lineage: Bacteria
Description: bacterial SSU rRNA
Rfam family: Bacterial small subunit ribosomal RNA
Source: RNAcentral